UCAAACUUGGUCAUUUAGAGGAAGUAAAAGUCGUAACAAGGUUUCCGUAGGUGAACCUGCGGAAGGAUCAUUACUGUUGGGGCUUCCCCAUCAAGAUGUUAUCCUUUGCUUACUAGUACUUGCUGUUUCCUCGGCGGGCUUGCCCGCCAAUGGGGACUUAUUUAAACCUUUUGCAAUUGCAGUCUUUUCUGAAAAAAUAAUAAUAAAAUAUUACAACUUUCAACAACGGAUCUCUUGGUUCUGGCAUCGAUGAAGAACGCAGC
Molecule: unclassified non-coding RNA, 263 nt
Filed under: uncultured fungus
Lineage: Eukaryota; Fungi
Description: partial contains small subunit ribosomal RNA, internal transcribed spacer 1, and 5.8S ribosomal RNA
Rfam family: Eukaryotic small subunit ribosomal RNA (bases 1-73)
Source: RNAcentral